RNAcentral lists this ribosomal RNA (382 nucleotides) under uncultured bacterium. Its description in RNAcentral is "bacterial SSU rRNA". It matches the Rfam family "Bacterial small subunit ribosomal RNA", at positions 9 to 352 of the family's 1533-position model. The record is from RNAcentral.
CGAGUUCGAUCCGGGCUCACGGACGAACGCUGGCGGCGAGCCUAACACACUGCAAGUCGACCGAGAAACCAGCCUUCGAUCUCCUUCGGGACUGAUAAGGCCGGUAGAAAGUGGCGCCCGGGUGAGUACCGCAUGGGUAAUCUACCCAGUAAGUGGGGGAUACCCCUCCGAAAGGAGGGCUAAUACCGCAUAACAUCUUUCCUUCAUAAGAAGGAGAGAUUAAAGAUGGCCUCUUCAUAUGCUAUCACUUCAGGAUGAGUCCGCGUCCUAUUAGUUAGUUGGUAGGGUAAUGGCCUCCCAAGACCACAAUGGGUAGCCGGUCUGAGAGGAUGUACGGCCACACUGGGACUGAGAUACGGCCCAGACUCCUACGGGAGGCAGC